Molecule: ribosomal RNA, 320 nt
Filed under: uncultured Actinomycetes bacterium
Lineage: Bacteria; Bacillati; Actinomycetota; Actinomycetes
Description: bacterial SSU rRNA
Rfam family: Bacterial small subunit ribosomal RNA
Source: RNAcentral
AUGUUGGGUUAAGUCCCGCAACGAGCGCAACCCUCGUCGUAUGUUGCCAGCGGGUAAUGCCGGGGACUCAUACGAGACUGCCGGGGUCAACUCGGAGGAAGGUGGGGAUGACGUCAAGUCAUCAUGCCCCUUAUGUCUAGGGCUGCACGCAUGCUACAAUGGCCGGUACAAAGGGCUGCGAUACCGCGAGGUGGAGCGAAUCCCAAAAAGCCGGUCUCAGUUCGGAUUGGGGUCUGCAACUCGACCCCAUGAAGUCGGAGUCGCUAGUAAUCGCAGAUCAGCAACGCUGCGGUGAAUACGUUCCCGGGCCUUGUACACAC